AAUAUUGCGCAAUGGAGGGAACUCUGACGCAGCAACGCCGCGUGAGCGAAGAAGGCCUUCGGGUCGUAAAGCUCUGUCAUAUGGGACGAAAAAAAUGACGGUACCAUAAGAGGAAGCCACGGCUAACUACGUGCCAGCAGCCGCGGUAAUACGUAGGGGGCAAGCGUUGUCCGGAAUCAUUGGGCGUAAAGGGCGUGUAGGCGGUUAACUAAGUCAGCUGUGAAAACCCAGGGCUUAACCUUGGGACUGCAGUUGAAACUGAUUAACUUGAGGGCAAGAGAGGAAAGUGGAAUUCCUAGUGUAGCGGUGAAAUGCGUAGAUAUUAGGAGGAACACCAGUGGCGAAGGCGACUUUCUGGCUUGACCCUGACGCUGAGGCGCGAAAGCGUGGGGAGCAAAC
RNAcentral lists this ribosomal RNA (399 nucleotides) under uncultured bacterium. RNAcentral describes it as "partial 16S ribosomal RNA". It matches the Rfam family "Bacterial small subunit ribosomal RNA", at positions 360 to 773 of the family's 1533-position model. The record is from RNAcentral.